RNAcentral lists this ribosomal RNA (537 nucleotides) under uncultured bacterium. Its description in RNAcentral is "partial 16S ribosomal RNA". It matches the Rfam family "Bacterial small subunit ribosomal RNA", at positions 28 to 523 of the family's 1533-position model. The record is from RNAcentral.
GAUGAACGCUGGCGGCGUGCCUAACACAUGCAAGUCGAACGGACCUUGCUUUUUUGGAGUACUUGUACAAAGAAAGAGCGCUGGUUAGUGGCGGACGGGUGAGUAACACGUGGGUAAUUAACCUUCUAGACUGGGAUAACAACGGGAAACUGGUGCUCAUACCGGAUAAGAUUCAUUGGCGGCAUCGCCGAUGGAUGAAAAGAGGCCUCUCCAUGGAAGCUCCUGCUAGAAGACAAGCCCGCGGCUGAUUAGCUAGUUGGUGAGGUAAUGGCUCACCAAGGCAACGAUCAGUAGCCGGCCUGAGAGGGUGAACGGCCACACUGGGACUGAGACACGGCCCAGACUCCUACGGGAGGCAGCAGUGGGGAAUAUUGCGCAAUGGGGGAAACCCUGACGCAGCAACGCCGCGUGAAUGAAGAAGGCCUUCGGGUUGUAAAGUUCUGUCAAUUGGGAAGAAACCUCUGAGGUCAAUAGCCUUAGAGAUGACGGUACCUAAGAAGGAAGCUCCGGCUAACUACGUGCCAGCCGCCGCAGUAA